CCAGCACCUCAAGUGGUCAGGAUGAUUAUUGGCCUAAAGCAUCCGUAGCCGGCUCUGUAAGUUUUCGGUUAAAUCUAUACGCUCAACGUAUGGGCUGCCGAAAAUACUGUAGAGAUAGGGAGUGGGAGAGGUAGACGGUACUCGGUAGGAAGGGGUAAAAUCCUUUGAUCUAUCGAUGACCACCUGUGGCGAAGGCGGUCUACCAGAACACGUUCGACGGUGAGGGAUGAAAGCUGGGGGAGCAAACCGGAUUAGAUACCCGGGUAGUCCCAGCUGUAAACGAUGCAGACUCGAUGAUGCAUUGGCAUAUAGCCAGUGCAGUGUCGCAGGGAAGCCGUUAAGUCUGCCGCCUGGGAAGUACGUACGCAAGUAUGAAACUUAAAGGAAUUGGCGGGGGAGCACCACAAGGGGUGAAGCCUGCGGUUCAAUUGGAGUCAACGCCAGAAAUCUUACCCGGAGAGACAGCAGAAUGAAGGUCAAGCUGAAGACUUUACCAGACAAGCUGAGAGGUGGUGCAUGGCCGUCGCCAGCUCGUGCCGUGAGAUGUCCUGUUAAGUCAGGUAACGAGCGAGAUCCCUGCCACUAGUUGCUAUCAUUAUUCUCAGGAAUAGUGGGGCGAAUUAGUGGGACUGCCGUUGUUAAAACGGAGGAAGGAAGGGGCUACGGCAGGUCAGUAUGCCCCGAAACUCUGGGGCCACACGCGGGCUGCAAUGGUAGCGACAAUGAGUUCCAAACUCGAAAGAGAGUGGCAAUCCCUAAACGCUACCACAGUUAUGACUGAGGGCUGUAACUCGCCCUCACGAAUAUGGAAUCCCUAGUAACCGCGUGUCAUUACCGCGCGGUGAAUACGUCCCUGCUCCUUGCACACACCGCCCGUCGUUUCAUCGAAGUUUGCUUUUAGCGAGGUGAUGUUUAAUUGGCAUAAUCGAACUGAGAAGCGCAGAG
Molecule: ribosomal RNA, 945 nt
Filed under: uncultured crenarchaeote
Lineage: Archaea; Thermoproteati; Thermoproteota
Description: bacterial SSU rRNA
Rfam family: Archaeal small subunit ribosomal RNA
Source: RNAcentral